This 68-nucleotide small nucleolar RNA is filed under the name Nannospalax galili (Upper Galilee mountains blind mole rat). Its description in RNAcentral is "Small nucleolar RNA SNORD73 (ENSNGAG00000007188.1)". It matches the Rfam family "Small nucleolar RNA SNORD73". Rfam says of the family: U73 is a member of the C/D class of snoRNA which contain the C (UGAUGA) and D (CUGA) box motifs. U73 is encoded within the introns of ribosomal protein S3a and contains a 12nt region of complementarity to a conserved sequence in 28S ribosomal RNA. The record is from Rfam by way of RNAcentral. Lineage: Eukaryota; Metazoa; Chordata; Mammalia; Rodentia; Spalacidae.
AAUAUGUGAUGAGAAAAUGUUUCGGUCCCAGAUGAUGCCCACUGAUAACUUUUACAUUUUCUGAUGUU